AGAGUUUGAUUCUGGCUCAGGAUGAACGCUGGCGGCGUGCUUAACACAUGCAAGUCGAACGAGGUCCAACCUUCGGGUGAAGACCGAGUGGCGAACGGGUGAGUAACACGUGGGGAACCUGCCCUUCUCUCUGGGAUAACCUCGGGAAACCGAAGCUAAUACCGGAUACUCCUUGCGGACCGCAUGGUCUGCUCGGGAAAGCUCCGGCGGAGAAGGAUGGCCCCGCGGCCCAUUAGCUUGUUGGUGGGGUAACGGCCCACCAAGGCGACGAUGGGUAGCCGAGCUGAGAGGCUGAUCGGCCACACUGGGACUGAGACACGGCCCAGACUCCUACGGGAGGCAGCAGUGGGGAAUCUUGCGCAAUGGGCGAAAGCCUGACGCAGCAACGCCGCGUGCGGGAUGAAGGCUCUCGGGUCGUAAACCGCUUUCAGCAGGGAUGAAAAUGACAGUACCUGCAGAAGAAGCCCCGGCUAAAUACGUGCCAGCAGCCGCGGUAAUACGUAUGGGGCAAGCGUUAUCCGGAUUCAUUGGGCGUAAAGCGCGCGUAGGCGGCUUGUUAAGUCAGGCGUGAAAUCCGGGGGCUCAACCCGCGGCUUGCGUCCGAAACUGGCAGGCUUGAGUCUGGUAGAGGAAAGUGGAAUUCCUGGUGUAGCGGUGAAAUGCGCAGAUAUCACGAGGAACACCAGUGGCGAAAGCGGCUUUCUGGGCCACGACUGACGCUGAGGCGCGAAAGCUAGGGGAGCGAACAGGAUUAGAUACCCUGGUAGUC
RNAcentral lists this ribosomal RNA (769 nucleotides) under uncultured Actinomycetes bacterium. RNAcentral's name for it is "bacterial SSU rRNA". It matches the Rfam family "Bacterial small subunit ribosomal RNA", at positions 8 to 795 of the family's 1533-position model. The record is from RNAcentral. Lineage: Bacteria; Bacillati; Actinomycetota; Actinomycetes.